RNAcentral lists this ribosomal RNA (808 nucleotides) under Oerskovia sp. Its description in RNAcentral is "bacterial SSU rRNA". It matches the Rfam family "Bacterial small subunit ribosomal RNA", at positions 21 to 839 of the family's 1533-position model. The record is from RNAcentral. Lineage: Bacteria; Bacillati; Actinomycetota; Actinomycetes; Micrococcales; Cellulomonadaceae.
GGCUCAGGACGAACGCUGGCGGCGUGCUUAACACAUGCAAGUCGAACGGUGAUGCCCAGCUUGCUGGGCGGAUCAGUGGCGAACGGGUGAGUAACACGUGAGUAACCUGCCCCAGACUCCGGGAUAAGCCUUGGAAACGAGGUCUAAUACUGGAUACGAGACGCCCCUGCAUGGGGAGUGUCUGGAAAGAUUUAUCGGUCUGGGAUGGACUCGCGGCCUAUCAGCUUGUUGGUGGGGUAAUGGCCUACCAAGGCGACGACGGGUAGCCGGCCUGAGAGGGCGACCGGCCACACUGGGACUGAGACACGGCCCAGACUCCUACGGGAGGCAGCAGUGGGGAAUAUUGCACAAUGGGCGAAAGCCUGAUGCAGCGACGCCGCGUGAGGGAUGAAGGCCUUCGGGUUGUAAACCUCUUUCAGCAGGGAAGAAGCGCAAGUGACGGUACCUGCAGAAGAAGCGCCGGCUAACUACGUGCCAGCAGCCGCGGUAAUACGUAGGGCGCAAGCGUUGUCCGGAAUUAUUGGGCGUAAAGAGCUCGUAGGCGGUUUGUCGCGUCUGGUGUGAAAACUCAAGGCUCAACCUUGAGCUUGCAUCGGGUACGGGCAGACUAGAGUGCGGUAGGGGUGACUGGAAUUCCUGGUGUAGCGGUGGAAUGCGCAGAUAUCAGGAGGAACACCGAUGGCGAAGGCAGGUCACUGGGCCGCAACUGACGCUGAGGAGCGAAAGCAUGGGGAGCGAACAGGAUUAGAUACCCUGGUAGUCCAUGCCGUAAACGUUGGGCACUAGGUGUGGGGCUCAUUCCACGAGU